This 544-nucleotide ribosomal RNA is filed under the name Haemophilus influenzae. RNAcentral's name for it is "partial 23S ribosomal RNA". It matches the Rfam family "Bacterial large subunit ribosomal RNA", at positions 1 to 582 of the family's 2925-position model. The record is from RNAcentral. Lineage: Bacteria; Pseudomonadati; Pseudomonadota; Gammaproteobacteria; Pasteurellales; Pasteurellaceae.
AGUUAAGUGACUAAGCGUACAAGGUGGAUGCCUUGGCAAUCAGAGGCGAAGAAGGACGUGCUAAUCUGCGAAAAGCUUGGAUGAGUCGAUAAGAGGCGUUUAAUCCAAGAUAUCCGAAUGGGGAAACCCAGUAGAUGAAGAAUCUACUAUCAACAAGUGAAUACAUAGCUUGUUGAGGCAAACCGGGAGAACUGAAACAUCUAAGUACCCCGAGGAAAAGAAAUCAACCGAGAUUUCGUCAGUAGCGGCGAGCGAAAGCGAAAGAGCCAGUAAGUGAUAGCAGUAUAGUUAGGAGAAUGUGUUGGGAAGCACAAUCAAAGAGGGUGAUAAUCCCGUAUCUAAAAACCAUAUUGUGGUACUAAGCUAACGAGAAGUAGGGCGGGACACGUGAUAUCCUGUUUGAAGAAGGGGGGACCAUCCUCCAAGGCUAAAUACUCCUGAUUGACCGAUAGUGAACCAGUACUGUGAAGGAAAGGCGAAAAGAACCCCGGUGAGGGGAGUGAAAUAGAACCUGAAACCUUGUACGUACAAGCAGUGGGAGCCC